UAGGGAAUCUUGCGCAAUGGGCGAAAGCCUGACGCAGCCAUGCCGCGUGAAUGAUGAAGGUCUUAGGAUUGUAAAAUUCUUUCACCGGGGAAGAUAAUGACGGUACCCGGAGAAGAAGCCCCGGCUAACUUCGUGCCAGCAGCCGCGGUAAUACGAAGGGGGCUAGCGUUGCUCGGAAUUACUGGGCGUAAAGGGCGCGUAGGCGGGUAUUUAAGUUGGGGGUGAAAGCCCGGGGCUCAACCUCGGAAUAGCCUUCAAUACUGGAUAUCUUGAGUUCGGGAGAGGUGAGUGGAAUGCCGAGUGUAGAGGUGAAAUUCGUAGAUAUUCGGCGGAACACCAGUGGCGAAGGCGACUCACUGGCCCGAUACUGACGCUGAGGCGCGAAAGCGUGGGGAGCAAACAGGAUUAGAUACCCUGGUAGUCCACGCCGUAAACGAUGAGUGCUAGUUGUCGGCAUGCAUGCAUGUCGGUGACGCAGCUAACGCAUUAAGCACUCCGCCUGGGGAGUACGGUCGCAAGAUUAAAAACUCAAAGGAAUUGACGGGGGUCAUAGCUGUUUCCUG
Molecule: ribosomal RNA, 563 nt
Filed under: uncultured bacterium
Lineage: Bacteria
Description: partial 16S ribosomal RNA
Rfam family: Bacterial small subunit ribosomal RNA
Source: RNAcentral